UGGCGACCGAGGCGGCAGGCGGAUCCCGGCAGGGUCUCAGUCCAGCACGGGUGUUUCAUUUCAGCCCCGUGUGUACCGCUGGUGUUUCUAUAGCAGCCGCGGCUGCUGCAGGAGGCAAGAGACUCGCCUGCAUGAAGUUCUGAGUUCUCAGCCUUGUGGGCAAGCCUGCCCCCUGGAGGAAACAGACUUAUUUUUUCAAAUGACAGCUGCAAAGAGGGGCUACUAAUAAAAUAAAACAACGCAAAGAACAAAAAGCAAAUAAAGCAAACUGACGAACCAGAACCAGGACGCAAAUGAAGAUUUGCUGGUUACUGAAAAGCCUUGUUAGACUCUUGAUUCAUUUUAGCAUCUUCACUGAAAUCACAUAAAAAAAUCUCUGAGCUUUUGGAAAACAUUAAAAACUGACCGACCCAGCUAUGAGCCAUUGAUAAGGAAGUGAGUCCAGAAGUAAUUUUGAUGUCUUCCUGUCCC
RNAcentral lists this long non-coding RNA (471 nucleotides) under Fukomys damarensis (Damara mole-rat). RNAcentral describes it as "lncRNA (ENSFDAG00000031620.1)". Lineage: Eukaryota; Metazoa; Chordata; Mammalia; Rodentia; Bathyergidae. The record is from RNAcentral.